AGAUUCUGGACAGAAAAUGCCCCAAAUGGAUGAAGAAAUCAUGGCAUCGCUUCGUGGUAAGCUUCUAGAAAUGAUCAAGUUAGUGAAGGAGUGCGUCCAGUGUGUCCGAUCACUGAUUCCCUCACCUGGCGGGACCCCCUCAUCAGCAUCCGGUUCAAAUACUUUGGUCAAUGAAAUUGAAAUGCACCCCUUGACUGGAAGUGUGGUAACCGUACCAAAGAGGGCCUUCCAGCGCCUAAACAGAUCCAGAAUGACCAUUUUUGCCCAGGGGCUGGCUGUUCUGGUCUUCAGCAAGGAACUUCUUGCAGAGUCCACCCGGACAGGGAAAUCUGGGGAAAAGGGCCCCCAAAAAAGACAGCUGGAUGUUGCCAAAGUGCAUGCCAUAACAGAUGCUGUUAUUGCCGAAUUUCCGCACACAAGUGCAUCUGAUGUGCGAGCGGCCAUCAGGCGCAAGUGCAAUAAUGAACAUUUCAGUAAAAAAAAGUGAAUGCGCAGUUUGAGACCACUGUUUCAAAUGUUUUUUGUUUUUUUCUUUCAGAGUUCUUUUAAUUUAGAAACGAGGUACAUUUAGUUAUGUUUUAUAAUCUUAAAACCAUGUGAGAUAUCAAUAAACACAGUUUGAGUUAAUACCA
Molecule: long non-coding RNA, 632 nt
Organism: Ctenopharyngodon idella (grass carp)
Lineage: Eukaryota; Metazoa; Chordata; Actinopteri; Cypriniformes; Xenocyprididae
Exons: 4
Source: RefSeq, a predicted model, not a curated record